Molecule: ribosomal RNA, 424 nt
Filed under: uncultured Hyphomicrobiales bacterium
Lineage: Bacteria; Pseudomonadati; Pseudomonadota; Alphaproteobacteria; Hyphomicrobiales
Description: bacterial SSU rRNA
Rfam family: Bacterial small subunit ribosomal RNA
Source: RNAcentral
AACGAACGCUGGCGGCAGGCCUAACACAUGCAAGUCGAACGAGAAGCCACCUUCGGGUGGUGGACAGUGGCAGACGGGUGAGUAACGCGUGGGAACGUGCCUUUCGGUUCGGGAUAACCCAGGGAAACUUGGGCUAAUACCGGAUACGCCCUUCGGGGGAAAGAUUCAUUGCCGAAAGAUCGGCCCGCGUCGGAUUAGCUUGUUGGUGGGGUAAGAGCCUACCAAGGCGACGAUCCGUAGCUGGUCUGAGAGGAUGACCAGCCACACUGGGACUGAGACACGGCCCAGACUCCUACGGGAGGCAGCAGUGGGGAAUAUUGGACAAUGGGCGAAAGCCUGAUCCAGCCAUGCCGCGUGGGUGAAGAAGGCCUUAGGGUUGUAAACCCCUUUCAGCGGGGAAGAUAAUGACGGUACCCGCAGAAGA